This 1398-nucleotide unclassified non-coding RNA is filed under the name Rhagoletis pomonella (apple maggot). Its description in RNAcentral is "sodium channel protein Nach-like, transcript variant X3". Lineage: Eukaryota; Metazoa; Arthropoda; Insecta; Diptera; Tephritidae. The record is from RNAcentral.
AGAAAAUAUUACACAAUGCAUUAAGCUUUGCAUACAUAAUGAGCGGUGCUGGGUUUAGGGCGUUUUGUAAUACAUACUUAUUUGUUACAAUUUCACAGCAUAGACGAGUUCUAAACAUACAUUUCAAGGGUUCAGAAGCACAGAAUUGUUUUGGCGGGUUGGCGACAUUCACUUAAGCUUACUUAACGCUCACUGAGAAAAGCAAUUGCAGCGACCUGAAGAGCAAGCAGACGGAUUGCUAUCGAAGUCGAAAAACAUCUUAUUCGCUCUGGCCAUGACUGAGGUUGGUCUGUGUCGUACAACAUCGCAGCUCAAUAAAUACACGAAUCCCAGUGGAGAAAUAAAAACUAUGGAAGUUAGCCCUGUGCACUACUGUCUUUUCAUGAGCAUUUGCAACACGAAGCUAUAUCCAGAAUAUCCAGACGAUGCGGGUGUAUUCGUGUAUCUGCACAAUCCCUACGAUGUGGUUUCGCCCGGCCAUAUAACCAACGUCUACCAGACAGCUGCACCAGGCAGAGUUUUGACCGUUGACUUGGAGAUUAGCUCAUUCAGCGCCGAAGAUGAGGUGCGCGAUUUGCCAUCAGAGUAUCGAAAGUGUCGCUACCCGGACGAAAGUAAUCUGCAGUAUUUUGAGACCUACACCACAGCUUUGUGUUGCAUGGAACGUCGCAUUCACAGAGCCAUAGAGCUCUGUAAGUGCAAGCCGCACUUCUAUGUUGUGGCGCCCGAUCUGCCCGUUUGCAACAUCGAUCAGCUGCUGUGUUUACAUCGUCAAAAUUGGUCGCAGACAAACUGCACCGAUUGCGUUCAGCUCUGUGAGUAUAUGUUCUAUGUGCAGCUGCAGCAAAGCCUUUCGCCCUUCUUACAGAACGAGGGUUUUCUCAGCCAGAAAUUCGAACGCACCGUCGUUAUCCAACUUAGUCUGCCCUAUCGAGGCAUACGUCGGCGUGUGGUCUUCAGCUCUGACCAGUUAGUGGUCUCUUUUGGCGGUGCGGUUAGCCUCUUCCUGGGCGCUAGCUUCAUGACCUUCAACACAAUGGUGAAACUCUUUGGCGAAUUUGUUGCUCUCAAUUGUAUGUGCUUUUGGCGGCAACGAAGAGAGCGGCGAAAGCGCAGGAAGCUGGUGCGUGAAGUGAGGGCCUUUUAGAGGCACCAAAAAUAAAGGAAAUACCACACAAGUCGUGCUUUCGUGGGGAAUGGUCUCAAUAUAGUAUAGAAUUGAUUUGCAGAAUGAUUGCCGCUAAUGCGAACAAAGCUAUCACGUGACACAAAAGCUGCUUGUAAUGAAAUGGCAGUUGAAAUUAUACAGAAAAAUGAAAUAUGUCAUCGCAUCGAAGGGUAAAAUUCAAAAAAAAAAAAUCGCUUCUCUUUUCACUCGUACACUUUUUGCUUUUAACU